GACGAACGCUGGCGGCGUGCUUAACACAUGCAAGUCGAACGGCAAGGCCCUGCUUUUGUGGGGUGCUCGAGUGGCGAACGGGUGAGUCACACGUGAGUAACCUGCCCUUGACUUUGGGAUAACUUCAGGAAACUGGGGCUAAUACCGGCUAGGAGCUCCUGCUGCAUGGUGGGGGUUGGAAAGUUUCGGCGGUUGGGGAUGGACUCGCGGCUUAUCAGCUUGUUGGUGGGGUAGUGGCUUACCAAGGCUUUGACGGGUAGCCGGCCUGAGAGGGUGACCGGCCACAUUGGGACUGAGAUACGGCCCAGACUCCUACGGGAGGCAGCAGUGGGGAAUAUUGCACAAUGGGCGGAAGCCUGAUGCAGGAACGCCGCGUGCGGGAUGACGGCCUUCGGGUUGUAAACCGCUUUCGCCUGGGACGAAGCGUGAGUGACGGUAAUGGGUAAAGAAGCACCGGCUAACUACGUG
Molecule: ribosomal RNA, 468 nt
Filed under: uncultured bacterium
Lineage: Bacteria
Description: partial 16S ribosomal RNA
Rfam family: Bacterial small subunit ribosomal RNA
Source: RNAcentral